UGGGGAAUCUUGCACAAUGGGCGAAAGCCUGAUGCAGCGACGCCGCGUGAGUGAAGAAGUACUUCGGUAUGUAAAGCUCUAUCAGCAGGGACGAUAAUGACGGUACCUGACUAAGAAGCCCCGGCUAACUACGUGCCAGCAGCCGCGGUAAUACGUAGGGGGCAAGCGUUAUCCGGAUUUACUGGGUGUAAAGGGAGCGUAGGUGGUAGUGCAAGUCAGAUGUGAAAGCCCGUUGCUUAACAGCGGGAUUGCAUCAGAAACUGUAUUACUAGAGUACAGGAGAGGUAAGUGGAAUUCCUAGUGUAGCGGUGAAAUGCGUAGAUAUUAGGAGGAACAUCAGUGGCGAAGGCGGCUUACUGGACUGUAACUGACACUAAGGCUCGAAAGCGUGGGGAGCAAACAGG
This 404-nucleotide ribosomal RNA is filed under the name uncultured bacterium. RNAcentral's name for it is "bacterial SSU rRNA". It matches the Rfam family "Bacterial small subunit ribosomal RNA", at positions 355 to 776 of the family's 1533-position model. The record is from RNAcentral.